AAUAAUAGAGAUUACACAAAUUACUCUCUCUCUCUCUCUUUAUUAUUUUCUUUAUCGGUGAUAGAAAGAUGGCUAUAUCCUCAAAAAUUUUUGUGACCUAUCUUGUCCUUGUUGCAAUUGCGUCAGGUAUCCUCAUUUUUUCAAGUAAAAGAAUUAUUAUAUUCAAAGACAUAGAACCAAUAUUUAAAUUUUGUUGGCUUAAUCUUUAAGUUGUUAUGCUAAAUUUAUAAUCUUAAAAUUUUAGGCAAAGGUAUAUUAUUUUUUGUAUUUUUGAUGAAUUUCUACACAUAUAUUUAUAUAUUAUUAGUCAAAAUUACUAAGUUCAAAUAAAUACAGUGUUAAAAUAUCACAUCUAUCCUUAAUAGUUAUACUGUUAAAUUCUUUAUUUAUUAGUUAACUUGUGCACAUCUCCAAACAUUAUAGUUAUAUAUCUACAACUCAUAAAUUUAAACUAUUAAUUAAAAUGCUAGUUUAUUUAAUUUUGUCACUAACCAUUGUGUAUAUAAUGACAGGUUGUUUAGCGCAGGACAAAUGCACAUGUUCCAAUUAUUAUAAUAAAAUAUGCAAAGACCUAUCUUUUGCUGCUAAUCGUGUAUGUGAAGGUUUUUGUAGUGAACGAUUUGAAAAAAUAUGUGGAGCAAGAUGUGUACAAGAUGAUGAUAUUGUUUGUGAAUGUAUUAUUUCAGGAGAUAUAUGUGGCUAAAAUUAAGAAUUAUAAAUCUUUAAUUUAAUUUUCUCGAAAUGAUGAUUAAUUUCCUGUACCUUUGAAUAAUAUCAACUAUUAUAAUAAAAAUAUAACCUACUAUCUUUUUCGUCUUCAUCGUCGUCAUCUUUUUCUAUUAUUAUUAUUAUAUUAUUAUUAUUAUUAAGUUUAAUUUAUGUUUAAUUCAAUUUAUAAAGUUAUGUCUGAGCAUGGUUAUGCACACAUAUGAAUUCUGAGAAACAUAGAAUCUGAAGUGAAAAAUUACAACUUUGAAUUGAUGGACAGACUAUCUAUUUGAAUGACUUAAUUAUUUAACGUCAAAUAAUUAGAUAUUUGUAAAAUCAGAAAACUUGAAUAAUUAAAAUUAGUUAGGUUGACACGAUCAUAUCUUAAUUAAAAUUCUCUUAUAAACGAUAUUUGUGGUGUAUAUUCUAAAUUCGAUAUUUUAAUUAGUUUUGCAUAUCCAGAUUCCGUUAGAAGAAUUAUAAUACUUAACUAAGGCUAAAUAUAAAAUUAUCAAUCUAAUAUUCUUAACUUUGUACUUUCUCGCUUUUAAUUUAUUCUUUUUAUUUUUUUAAUCUAUUAUAUAUUUUAAAAUUAUAUAAAACACACCAUAAAUCAUAACUAUUUAGUAACAAUUUAAAAGAUUUUAUUGACUCUUAAAAUUAAUGUCACAUAAAUUGAGAAAGAGAGAGUGACUUAUACUAUGUGAAAAUUACAUUAAACAUACUGUAAAUCAUAAUAAUUAAUAACAUAAAAUAUUUAAACAUCAUACAAAAUAUUUGGUUGGCUCUCCAAAUUUCACCUCUGUCACAUUACAUAGGGGUCGUUUGGUAGAGUGUAUAAGAAUAAUGCAAAAUAUAGUGCAUUAGUAAUUUUUGCAUUAGUAAUGCUUGUAUUAAUUAUGCAUUGAUUAUUUUUUAUACAUUGUUUGGUUUGAUGUAUAAGAAAUAAUACAUCUUACAUAGUUUCUAUAAAAAGAAAUUUUUGUUUACAAAAAUCCCCUUUUUUGAUUUUGUACACUUUUUUGCAACAAAAUUCUUUUGUCAUUCCAAACAUAAUUAGUAUUGUUGAACUAUUAUAUAGGGGUUUAGGAUUAAUUGCAAGACCUUCAUCUUUGCGCAGAAAUGUAAUGCCGACUGAUUAACAUAGUCGAAACAAAAAUAAAGUACAAAACAUAAAAUUAAGAAAUAGUCUCAAAAUUUUAUAGGUUAUUGCAUGUGUUUAAAUUCUUUGUAUUACUAAUACAUAGGAAUUAGAGUGUAUUACUAGUACACACUUCAAUACAUAAUAGAGUAUCAAAUGAUCACAAAGUUUAACAAUUUGGGUGUGAACCAACCUCAAACAUAAAUAAAUGCAGUCCAGUAGACCUCGGCUUGGUGAUAGAUUUAUGGUAUUAGUAGUUACUUUGUAGAUUAAUGUGGAGUGAAUCCAGAGUCGGUGAACAUUGUGGGAAAUGCAUAGAAGGUAAAUUUGAAUUAUGGUAAGGCCUACAACUUUAAGUGGUGGAGUCAACCCAACUACUCAUCAUGCAAUAAUAAGGCUCAGACUCAGUAGUUUUAGAAGCAGCAUAGCAUGUAGGCUAGUAAUAUUGAAGAAGAUCCUUGCUAAAAAAAGAAAAAAUCAUUGUAGAAAUUCAAAAUCAGCAACUUGCUCAAAAGAACUUGGAAACAUAGUUAGGACAGUUAGCUCAAAACCAGAAUACAAAACCUCAAGGGGGUUUUCCUAGUGACACAAAGAAUCCUAACCAGGUAAUGGCAAGGACCUUGAAGAGAGGGACAUACCUUAUAGAUAAACCUUCAAAGAAAAAUCAGGAGGUACAUGAAGAGUUAGUCCCACAACAAGUAGAUGAGAAGCAAGUUGCACCCAAAGAUGCUGAAGUCUAAGUGCCUGAAAACAAUGGCAGCUUAGCAUGAACAAGAUAUACCACCACCACUAAUGCCUCAAGAGUUCAAAAAGGGCCAAGGAGGAUGCUUGUUUUAAGAAGUUCUUUGACACAUUCAGAGAAAUAACCUCUCUACUUCUUUGGAGGUAGCAAUAUGGACUGCGUACAUUUUACCCUCCCAGACCUCACUUUGUGGGAAUACACUAGAUUUGUUGUUGUUGUUGUUGUUGUUUGACACAUUCUUAGAACUUCAUAUUAACUUUAAGAAGUACUGGAAGGAUAUGGUGACCAAUAAGAUGAAGUUGGGGGAUAUUGAAAUUGAAUCCUACUCCCAAUUUAAUGACACUGAUUACUGGACUAAACUAAGUUUAACUAAACAAGGAACUGAUCAUGAUAACUACUGAAUGAUACUGCUAAUGGUUUAUCUAUUACAGUUUUGAAACUAUUGAAAUUUCGCAAAUAGCUAAGUAACGGGUGUUCAUAACCCUUCAACACUCAAUGGAAUUAAUAAUAAGAAUACAUGAAAGCUUGAAAUCAUAUUAGAGAAUUAUUAUUCAAAAUUCAUAACUUUGGCUUUUCGUCAAACACAUGGGGAUCAUGACUUUAACAUGGGAAUACAUUUUACACAUGAUGAGAUAGCAUGAUCACACAACAAAAUCAUAAACUGAGGAUUUAUUCUGAAUUUGCAUAAACAUGAUAUGAGAACCACAAUAUUUUAAUCAUACAAUAAUCCAUUCCACUUGAAAUCAAUUAUAAACUUAACUUGAAAUUUAAAUAGCAAGAAAUUCAUUAAAAGCAUGAGAGUGAAUGAAACAUGCUGGAAUAGCGUAAUUACAAUACUAAAAUCAUACUUAGGAAUUUAACUAUAAAAUUUCCAUCAAUCAAACGUAGAAGGGAAACUUCCAUCGAAAUACACUUGUAAACAUGAUGUAUAAUCUAAAUUCAUAAAAACCUCAUAGAGAUGAUUCAUUGUUAAAAUGUAAUUUCAAAAAUUAAAAUAUAAAAAUAAAUUUUUGGACUCCAUGGGUGGAAAGGGUCCAUGGAUGAACAUCACACAUACCUUUAAUACUUAAAUCUUGAAAGAGAACAACUUUCUUGAAAGCUUCCUUGGAUUGGAACACUGGAGUUCUUGAUUUUCUUGAAAGGAAAGAAGAGAAUUGAUGAACUUGGGGGAUGAUUAGGGUUUGUUUUUGAGAGAAAAUUGGAGAAUAUGAGCAUAUAAUACCCUAACUGAAGCCUUAAGUCAUGUUUUUAUGAAUUUGGUUGUGGUGAGAAAAGACCCAAUUGCCCCUCACUCAUUUAGACCAAAAAUUCGUAACUGAAAUGUGAAUGAAAGACUCAUCGCGACGUGGUCUUAUCGCAGUGGCUUACUACUUCUGACAAAAAUGAUUAUUACUUUUUGCUCGGGUAUUGUAUUAAGGCAAAAUUGGUAUUGUUGAAAAGCUAAUUCAAUUAUCUACAGUUUAGUGGGUCUUCAGCUGAAAAAUUCUACGUUUAUCAAAAGUUAUACACGUUCAAAAUGGAUCCUUGUAGAAUCAAAUACCAAACUUUGGGCGAAUCAAAGGAUUUUAGCUCAACUUUAUUCUAAGUGAUUUCAAUGAACAUUCCUCACCUCAUAAGCACUUCACACACUAGAAUAAAGAUCAUGACACAUGCAUUCAAUUAUGAAUCAAGAACUGGACGAAAACACGUUCUCUGCGAUGCGAUAAGGGCCUCAUCGCUACACCACCGUGAUGCGCCACAAUCGCAGUAAGGUUCUGGAAUCAAAAUCCAAAAGUCCCCCAAUUCUUAUCCGAAAAAUUCAAAACUUCCACGAUACGUGCUCUUUACACCCCUGAACAUAAAAUAACUUAAAAACUCACAUCUCGGGGUCAGGAAGGUCACUUUAAAAAUCAACGAAGUUAAGAGGCCAAAAAUAAAACUAAGUCCCCAACACUUAGCUAAAUUUUUAGGUUUUCAGCCUCAUAUGCAUGCACUAUGAGCAGAACUGAGAUAGAAAAAGUACGGGGUAUUACACUAACUCUUUCUUUCUCCUUUAUAUAUAAUUCAUUGCAAUUAUUUGUUUGAAUGAAUAUAACCUUAAUUAAUUAAUCUGAAUGAAUCAUCAUCAAGCUGCUAUUUAAUUUUGUUUUCAACUUGUAUUUUUUCUCAAACUGUGUAUCAUUAUUUUUACAAGUAUAAUAAUUUAAAGUUGGCAAAACGAGCUCUUGUACUUCUCCUUGGAAUAAAUCUUUGAGAUGAGUUAAUAUUUGAAAACUCUACUAGAAUGACAUUCACUUUUGUUCAUGUGGCUAAUAGUUCAUUUGAGUUGAUGCAACUUCCUUUUAAAAAUUAACUUUCCUCAAGAAAUCAAACAUGUUUUCUAUUAAUUAGUUGAGUAUUCAUUUUGAUCUAGUAUCUAUUUGAAAAAUCUUACUUCUUCAAAAAAGAAACUAGCAACUAAUUUGAUUCUAUUAUUUGAAGAAAAUCACUUCAAGUUAAAUGGAUUUUCUUCAUGAAUAGUGUAGAUGCUAUUUUUUAUGAAAUGUUUUGGAUAAUUUCAAAACUUAAGAAUUUAGAAUUUUUUUAACAAAGUCAGUCAAUUGUCUUUUAGUCAACUAUUUUUAUAAACGUUCUUGAGUUCCUUAAAAAUCACCUCAAGAUGUUACCAGAAACCUUACCCAUUUUCUCUCACUUUAAGUGUUUGUUUCUAUUUUCAAUUUUUUAAAAUUCUUUUAAAGUUUGCUUAGUAUUUUUUGUAAUAAUCAAGUAGCGACCUUGUCUUUUCUUAAAUUGUUUUGAAAUUUUCUUUAAGUUUUGAAAUAGUUAAAUAAGACAAAAACCAUUUUCUUUUUAAAUGAAAUUUCAAAAAGAAAUAAAACAAUAAGGUUGAAUGGACUUAAAUAAAAUAUCCUAUAUAUAUAUAUAUAGAGAGAGAGAGAGAGACAACCAUAACACAAAUAGAUGAAAAAACAAAAAAUAAAUUCAUAUAUAGAAAAUGUUAUUAAAAGAGAAGAAAACAAAAUAAUAAUAAAAAGAACAAAUUAGCAUGCUCAACAUAAUUAAAGAUGCCCGUCAUUCUCUUCUCCAUCAUUGUAGUCAUUCGAAUCAAUUUCAGUUUCAACAUUUUCAUUAAGUUGUUUAGCCCUUUUGUUCAGCUGGGCCCUCUUAACAGCAAAUAGAUUGAUCAACGCUCUAAUUUCUCUAACCUCAAGUUCAUCAAAUCUUUUUCUUGCCUCAACAAGUUGGUUUAAAUUGUACUCUGUUUCCUUCUUCUCAACUAUUUUCUCAAGUUGAUUAAUUUUACCUUCCUUAGUAUUCAGUACCGACUGAAGGAAGUCUUCAUGUUUGACUAUCUUAAUUGGGCGUUGCUUAUCAAAGGAAGCUAGAUAGUUCUUCACCCUAUCCGUAGCUUGGGUUAGAGAUGGCCAAGCAAAAAUAUUUUGAUCUCCAGGAGUAAAAAAGAACAUACCAAUUUCGAUGUCACAUAAAAUUUCUAAAUGUUUUGCUUUCUUAUAUAGUGAUUCUAAUCUUUUAUCCAGUAGAACUUUUUUCUUUCUCGGAUCGACAAUCCUACUAGGCCUAACCCCUAUUUUUGUCAUAGUUAGAUAUGCAAGAAUUAAAGAAUAUAAUAUCUGAGUGAUAAUCACUCUCUGAAUAUAAGAUAAUAGUGUUUCGCUAAUACAUAUAUAUAGAUCUAUGGUAGGACUACAUACCUAAAUGCUUAAAAGUGAGUUCACAUAAUUUGGCCAAAUUUAGGAAAAACCUAACUAUACGAUCCGAAUUUUAAGGUAUUUAUUUAUUAUUUUCUUAGAUGUAGUUACAAUCCUAAAAAUCAAUCUUGAACUUGGAGAUUAAAUAAUGUUAUUUCCAUAAUAGCUAUCCGAGAUGAUCGGAUGCAUUUUGGGAAGUUUUUCAUUUUUGAAAAUUAGAAAUUUGGAUGAAAGUCAACAUAUUGAUUGACGAGGCUGGAAGUCACAAUACAAAAUCUCAAGUCAUUUUAGUACCUACUAUAACCCACUAGUAGGUAAGUCAAUAUCAUAAUUUGGAACAACAAGUAAUGGGCUAACAGGUGAAGGACGGAAGAACAAGGUAAAAACAGUAAAUAAAACGACUAGUAGAAAAAGUAUAUGAAGCAUGCACACAAAUAGGUGGGGAAAGAACAAAAUAUACAAAAUGAAUCCCCAAGACCUAGUAUAAUAACUAAAAGAACCAUUAAGAAUAAGGAGUACUAGACAAGUGCAAUACAUACAUAAUAGUCUCCAUAAGGUGCAAAAUAAGACUAAUUCCACAAUAGAGGGAGAUAGGUCAAAUCCAGAUGCUAAAAUCUCACCCUAAUCUUUGAUCAACAACUCUACAUGAGGGUGACGUCAACAAUGGUAACUCGUACUAGGAUCUGCAUUAGGGAAAAAGAUGCAGAAGUGUAGCAUGAGUACCACAACAAUAUGUGGUACUCAGUAAGCAUCACAGGACGAUAGAGCUCAACUAAGGCAAAAGCAUUAUAAAGUGUGACUAUACACUAAAAGUAAGAUAAGAGGGGUCACAAAGAGAAUAAUAGGCUAAAUCUAGACAGUUAUGAGAAUCAUAAGUAAAUAACUCUAAUAGUUAUAUAUGAAUAAUAUAUAAUUCUCCUCCUAAAUUAUCACUAUUCGAACUAGGGCCUGACCAUAAUGGGUAUCUCAACUCCAACAAGGAUCGGAGACCACCCCCUUUGCCUAGUUAAACAGAAUACAAUUCAAGUAUAGUAGUGGAAUUUCAAACAUAUCACAAGAUAGAUAAUUAUGACUCAAAAGAAGUCUUAAGAAUUCAAAAAUCAAUCCUAAGUCCACAGUAAUCCACAAAGCUUCUAAACAGAAUCAAAUCAAUAUAAGUUGGUAUAUGCCCUCGAUGAUAGCCAAAACUAGACCAAAGAAAAGUAUAUGACAUAAGGGAACCAAAUAAUGAAAUGAAGUCUUCCUAAGCAUGGAAGCUCACCACUUCAAUCUGACUCAUGAGCUAUCCCACGAUCACUUAGUCACUACACAGGAAAAGAAAAAGUUUUUUCGAUUUCUGCAUCAUGUGGGGAUACACCAUCCAAAUAUGGUUAAUGGCAUGAGCCCUAGCAUGUAACUCAGAGAAUAGUGAUAUAAUAAUGUCAUGAUUAAUAAUUUUAUAAUCAGUCCAAAAUCCAAAUGUACACAAGCAUAUGCAUAUACAUAUAAAUAUAUAACCAGUUGGGGUAGAAAAUAAGGCUUAGUAUGAAAGUAGAAUAUUAUCUUGGACGAUAUAGAUCAAAAGUAAUAAACAGGUACCCAUGGACUAUAUGGAUUCAGCUCCCUGCUGAAGGUCCCUAGUGCAUGUUAGCCGCACGAACCGGAGGUAACAAGGAAGAUCAGGGAAUGCCCCAAUCUUACGUCAACCUAAGAUACAAAUAUGUAUGAAUAGUGUGAACCAUACACACAGGUUAUCAAGACCAAACCUCACUUCGGCGAACAUGAGUUUCAUAAGUCAUCCAAGACCCAUACCAUCACGACUUAGCUACAUAACCCCUAUCAGGCCCAAUUUAAAAUAAGUUUCACAUAACCCAUUCAUUACCCAAGGAAUUUACCAUUAAUGGCACACUACUGGUAUCGACAUACUGUAUGCUUGCAAGCUCAUAAUUAUGACAUUACAAUUCUAUUAAUUUGGGGGAAUGCCUCGACCCUAUUUUGUUCAUUAAAUCAAGUUGGAAGAAUGCCUGGACCUCCUUUAGUUUAUCAAACUAAAUUAGACGAAUGCCUCGACCUCCUUUAUUCAAGUUUGAAACCAAAACAUGACCAACAAGGCCUUUAAAAUUCAUGUUUAAAAAUUUAAUUAUUCAUGCAAUGCGAUAGUAUAGGUCAGUAAGUCAAACCAAGUGAAAAAUCAUAUUUCAAAAUCAAUUUCACAAGUGGGUUGAUGGAACACAAUCACCCAGGACCAAUUUCAAGUUCAAAAACAUCAAUUUGGGGGAAUACCUCGACUCCGACCGACUGAAUCAUCAAUUGAGGUGUCAUACAUACUAUCUCUAACUGAAGAUGCCUCAACAUCACGAGUUGAUCUAAAUGAGCUGUAUGACUGAAAAUCCCAUGUAGAGAUACUCUCUAGACUAGUAAUCGGUCUCUCUACAGUUGAAGCAAACUUCUGACACACCAACAUGGCGAGUAACAAACUGAUCCCAAAUUUUGCGUUUUCUAACACUAUUAGAGUCCAAAUAUCAAAUUCAAGCUAAAUCUGAGUAAUGUUGAGUCUUAUACUAUCAUUGAAAGUUUGGGUCUGAAAAAGUUUAAAGUGGGUUGAAAGAUUUGAAGUCUUGGGUGAGGAAUUUGAGCAAAAUAAUGUGUGGAAUGAGUUUAGAAUGAUGAAAGGUGCAUAGGAUCGAAUUUUUAACUCAUUCCGAGCUAAGAUGUUCUUGGUGUGUUCUUGAGAAGAUUGUUAUCUUCGUAUUGAAGUUCAUCAAAAGUAAGUGUUUGGUCCAAAAAUAAGGAAGAGAAAAAGUGAAAAAGUAUUGUACUAACGCAUUUAUUAGUUAUACAUAGAUAAAAAGACAUACCAAACAAGGUACUAGUAGUAUACAUUAAUUAAUGCAUGCAUUAUAUUUUACAAUAUAUUCUACCAAACGACCCCUUAGUAAGUAAUUAAUUAACCUUCUAAAAAGAGUAACAAUCAAAUUUGACUCUUGAUAUUAUGUCUAAAUCUUUAAAGUAAGUGUCCAAAUUAAGAUUUUAAUAGAGUUACUUAUCAAUUUUUAGGAUAUCAAAUUCAACUACUGGUAUUAUGUUAAGUAUUUAAACAUUUAUAUUUUUAAAAUUUUGGUCGAAGGUAGACUAUUUGUUGUAAUUUAUGGAUUUUGACAUAUAUAUUUAUAUUACCAAUUAAAAAUACUAGGUGCAGAUGAACACUGUGUUACGACAUUGCACAUAUCCUUAGUAGUUGUUAUUAAUAUUUUUUUAAAAUGGAAAAGGGUCAAAAUUAUUCAUGAAUUAUUUAAAAUGGAUCAAAAAUAUUGCUCGUUAGCUUUUUGGCUAAAAUACCCCUCUGUUAAAUAUUUGGCUCAAAAAUGCCCCUCACUCUAACAGAAGUCCACCAAGGACGCCACCUAGAUUAAAAAAAAGUCACGUAGUCAUGCCACGUCACCAUCUACGUGUAAAAUUUUAUUUUUAAUUACACAAUUUAAUUUAUUAUCCGAUCCAACCCAUAAUAAAAAAGACCCAAACUGAAGUGAAAUGACAAAGGGUAAAAGAAUCAGGUCUUUCUCUUUCCGUUAAUCGUUCUUUGUCAAGACCAACUCAUCUCCUUUUGCAUUAUCCAGCAAUGCCUCUUCGUCACAUCUGCACAACCAUUUAGAGAAUCCUAAGCCAAACUUUCUUACUGAUAAUGGUGUAUCAAUUUGGCAAACAAUCCAGACUUUCUUUUCAGUCUUUUAAUGAUAUUGUCAGUUUUUCAUUAAAUUAAUCUAUUCUGUUGCUUGGCUAGCACCUUCUAAUUCUACUGUUGCACUCUAGAUGGUAAGUUUAUCUUUCUUAUAUAAAAAAAUAUUGUUAUCUUCAUGUGGAUAGUUGUUCUGUUUUAGAGAUUAUUCAUGUGUGUAAUGUGGCUUUCGUUUGAUUCACUCUUACUUUGUCAAAGGAAGUUUCUACCAAAUACUUGUGGAAGAUUAUUUUUUGGACUGUUCAAACAAGAUUGCUACUUGUUCAAACAAGUUGCUACUUGUUCAAACAAGUUGCUUCUUGUUCAAACAAAGUUGCUACUUGUCUCCAUUUUCAUCUCUAUAAAUAGAUGCCUUCUUUCUCAAUUGUAAUACACAUCAAAUUACAAGAGUUUUCUUUCAUUCUCUUGUAUUUAUUCUUCCUUCCUAUUAGAGUAUUAAGUUAAGAGAGUUGGCGUUGGGAAUACUUUGUGUGAGCCCUUCCUUUUGGAGUGAUCUUGUGAGGUUUUCUCUUGGGAUAUUUGGGUUAAUUAGAGUGACUACUCUAAUUUUGUAAUCUCUCUAUUGUACUUUUGUUGAUAUAGUGAAGUUAUUCCUCUCCGCUCGUGGACGUAGGUCACACUGACCAAACCACGUUAAAUUUGUGCCUCUUUUAUUUUUUCUUUAAGUACCGUUACUAUCAACUUGUUAUUUUCAUUAUAACAUUAUUUGGCUAAAUUCCGCAAUAAUCGGGUUCUCAAUCCUAACAAAUUGGUAUCAGAGCUGAAUCUAACCAGGUUAUUUUUCAGUAGCCAAAAUGACUAUAACAAAGACUUACGUUGAGAAAUUUGAUCGAAGUGCAAACUUCGGGAUGUGGCAAUCAAAGAUGGAAGGUAUCUUAAUUCAGGAUGGCUUAGAUAUGGCACUAGAAGGAAAGGAGAAGAAGCCGGAAAAAAUGAGGACGAAGAAUUUGCCGUCAUAGACAAAAAGGCAAAAUCAGGUAUUAUUCUAAAUCUCUAAAAUGAGGUUUUACGUGAAGUAUCUGCAGAAACCACAGCGAAAGGCAUGUGGAAAAAACUAAAAGCCUUGUAUAUGAAGAGGACAGUGGAAAAUCGACUUUACCUGAAGCAAAAGCUUUACACAUUUCGUAUGGUAGAAGGUACCUCUAUACUCUCACAUCUUGAUGAUUUUGAUUCUAUUCUUAUGGAUUUGAGUAAUAUAGACGCCGAAGUUAAUGAUGAAAAUCAAGCCGUCUUAUUACUUAUUUCCUUACCCCAAUCAUGUAAGCAUAUUAGAGAUACUAUGCUUUAUGGAAAGGAUAAUAUCUCUUACAAAGAAAUCAAAUCUAUGUUAAAAACAAAGGAACAGAUAGAUAGAGAUAUUACUGGGGAAAGUAGCGCAGCCCAUGGGGAAGGAUUAUUUAUAAGAGGUAGNNNNNNNNNNNNNNNNNNNNNAUUUUGGAUUCGGGUUGUUCUUAUCAUAUGUGUCCCAAUAGGGAUUUGUUUAACACAUUCUAAUCUGUUGGAGGUGGAGUUGUCUUGAUGGGAAACAAUACUCCCUGCAAGGUUUUUGGUAAAGUUACAGUCCGAAUUAGAAUGCAUGAUGGUGUGGUGAGAACUCUCACGGAUGUUAGAUAUGUUCCCGACUUGAAGAAAAAUCUCAUUUCAUUGGGCACUCUAGAAUUUCUUGGGUGUAAAUACACAGGUGAAGGUGGAGUUUUGAAAGUAUCUUCAGGAGCUCUUGUGAUCAUGAAAGCACACAGAUCAGGUACGUUGGACACUUUAUUGGGAUCCACUGUUAUAGGUGCUGCUGCAUUUUCCACUUUAAAUCAACUUGAUCCCAACAUCACCAAAUUGUGGCAUAUGCGAUUGGGGCAUAUAAGUGAAAAAAGUCUUUCCAUCCUCAGCAAAAGAGGUCUACUGUGUAGACAAAGUAUUGAAAAAAUAGAGUUCUGUGAACACUGUGUGUUUGGAAAGCAGAAAAGAGUCAGCUUCAAAUCUCCAACAGUUCAUCGAACAAAAAGUACUUUGGACUACAUUCAUUCAGAUCUUUGGGGUCCUUCCCGUACCCUAUCAAAAGGUGGUGCCAGGUAUAUGUUAACUUUCAUUGAUGAUUAUUCAAGGAAGGUUUGGGUUUAUUUUCUGAAAAACAAAAGUGAUGUUUUCUUAAAUUUCAAACAAUGGAAAGUUUUGAUUGAAAAGCAAACAGGAAAACAGGUCAAGCGGCUUAGAACAAAUAAUGGCUUGAAAUUUUGUAACGACGAGUUCAAAGAAUUUUGCAAAAAUGAAGAAAUUGCUCGAUAUCGUACUGUGAGGAUGACACCUCAACAAAAUGGUGUUGCAGAAAGGAUGAACAGGACUCUUUUGGAAAAAGCCCGUUGUAUGAUUUCAAAUGGUGGGUUGACAAAUGCUUUUUGAGCUGAGGCUAUCUCUACAGCUUGUUAUAUUAUUAACCGUGCUCCUUCUGCACCUUUGAACUUCAAGACUCCGGAGAAAAUAUGGUCAGGUACACCUGCUAAUUAUUCUGACUUAAAAGUUUUUGGUUGUCCUGCUUACAUGCAUGUAAAUGAUGGAAAAUUAGAGCUAAGGGCUAAAAAAUGUAUUUUCCUUGGUUAUGCAUCUGGGGUGAAAGGAUACAGACUUUGGUGCCCUGAUCCCAAGUCACCAAAAUUUAUAAUUAGCAUAGAUGAAACUUUUGAUGAAUCCUCCAUGUUACAUUCUAGAAAAGAGUCUUCUAGCUCUUGUACCAAGAACAAAGAGCAUGAUGUGUAUGAACAAGUGGAGGUUGAGCUUGGCAUACCUUCUGAGCCAAGCUCAUCAUCAACUGUGGAACAAAAUAUAGUUGAAAAUCCAGAAGUUGAGCCAGAAGUUGUGACUUCUGAAGUUGAACCAAAUGAGUAUUCCAUAGCAACACAUAGACCAAGAAGACAAAUUCUCAGACUAGAAAGGUAUGAAGAUUAUGUUGCAUUUGCUUUUUCAAUUGCAUAGGAAACUGAAGAAAUCGAAGAACCAUCAAAUUAUUCAGAAGCAUUUUCUGGUGCUGAUUCAGCCAAGUGGCUGAUUGCAAUGAAUGAAGAAAUUGAAUCUCUUCAUAAGAAUAGUACUUGGUCUUUUGUGAAGCCACCGUCAGGAAGUAGAAUCAUUGGUUGCAAAUAGGUCUUCAAGAAAAAAGAUGGAAUUCCAGGGGUUGAAGAUGCAAGGUAUAAGGCACGAUUAGUUGCAAAGGGCUAUAGUCAGGUGCAAGGAGUUGAUUUUAAUGAUAUUUUCUCACCUGUUAUUAAACAUAGCUCUAUUUGUGUCUUGCUUGCCUUAGUUACCAUGCAUGAUUUGGAAUUAGAACAGCCUGAUGUUAAGACAGCUUUCUUACAUGGCUAACUUAAGGAACAAAUACAUAUGUAUCAACCUGAAGGAUUUAAAAUUGAAGGAAAGGAAGAUCAUGUUUGCUUGUUAAAGAAAUCCCUGUACGGAUUAAAAUAAUAUCCAAGACAGUGGUACAAGAGGUUUGAUUCCUUUAUGUUGGGUCAUGGUUAUUCAAGAAGCAUGUAUGAUAGUUGUGUUUACUUUCAAAAGUUAAAUGAUGGUUCAUUCAUUUACUUACUAUUAUAUGUUGAUGACAUGCUUAUUGCUGCUAAGGAUUUGACAGAAAUUCACAAUUUGAAAAGUCAGCUGAAAAGUGAAUUUGAAAUGAAAGAAUUGGGAGCAGCUAAGAAAAUCCUUAGCAUGGAGAUCAGAAGAGAUUGAGAAGCCCGCAGGUUAUUUUUGACCCAGAAGAAGUACUUGGAGAAGGUUUGGCAUGAAAGAAGCUAAACCAAUAAGUACUCCUCUUGCUGCUCAUUUUAAGUUAUUAGCUGUUCAAUCACCGUAGUCAGAGGAAGAAGAAAGUUAUAUGGCACAGGUACUGUAUUCUAGUGCAGUUGGCAGUAUUAUGUACACAAUGGUAUGUACACGUCCGGAUAUUUCACAUGCAGUAAGUGUGGUAAGUCGAUAUAUGGCUUAUCCUGGAAAAGCACAUUGGCAGGCGGUGAAAUGGAUUCUCAGAUACUUGCGUCGUACCUCAAAUAUAUGUUUGGAAUUUGGUAGAAAUACUAACACUUUAGUUGGUUUUGUAGACUCAGAUUAUGCAGGUGAUCUUGAUAAAAGAAGAUCACUGACUGGCUACAUGUUUUGCAUUGGUAGUUGUGCUAUCAGUUGGAAAGCUACAUUACAACACGUAGUAGCUUUAUCUACUACUGAAGCAGAAUAUAUGGUAGUGACCGAGGCUAUCAAAGAAGCCUUAUGGUUCAAGGAUCUAUUUGCUGAACUCAGUCCACACCAAGGUGAUAUUAUUAUUUUCUGUGAUAGUCAAAGUGCCAUCCACUUGACUAAAUAUCAAAUGUAUCAUGAGAGGACGAAGCAUAUUGAUAUCAAGUAUCAUUUUAUUUGGGAAUCUAUUAUUAAAGGAAAGGUCUCUGUUCAGAAGAUCAACACUAGAGACAAUCCUGCAAACAUGUUCACAAAGUCUCUUCCGGUCAGUAAGUUCAAGCUUUGCUUGAGCUUGAUUGCCGUUUGUGAAGAAUGAUUUUUCCCACACGGGCUUUUGCGGAGAGGAAGCAAAUUUACUAUAUUAACCAAACUCAGGCCAAGGUGGAGAUUUGUAAUGUGGCCUUUGUUUGAUUCACUCUUGCUUUGUCAAAGGAAGUUUCUACCAAAUACUUGUGGGAGAUUAUUUUUUGGACUGUUCAAACAAGGUUGCUACUUGUUCAAACAAGUUGCUACUUGUUCAAAUAAGGCUGCUACUUGUUCAAACAAGUUGCUUCUUGUUCAAACAAAGUUGCUACUUGUCUCCAUUUUCAUCUCUAUAAAUAGAGGCCUUCUUUCUCAAUUGUAAUACACAUCAAAUUACAAGAGUUCUCUUUCAUUCUCUUGUAUUUAUUCUUCCUUCCUAUUAGAGUAUUAAGUUAAGAGAGUUGGUGUUGGGAAAUACUUUGUGUGAGCCUUUUCUUUUGGAGUGAUCUUGUGAGGUUUUCUCUUGGGAUAUUUGGGUUAAUUAGAGUGACUACUCUAAUUUUGUAAUCUCUCUAUUGUACUCUUGUUGAUAUAGUGAAGUUGUUCCUCUCUGCUCGUGGACGUAGGUCACACUGAUCGAACCAGGUUAAAUUUAUACCUCCUUUAUUUUUUAUUUAAGUACCGUUACUAUCAACUUGUUAUUGUCAUUAUAACAUUAUUUGGCUAAAUUCCGCAAUAAUCGGGUUCUCGAUCCUAACAAUGUGGAUAGCUGUUCUGUUUUAGAGAUUAAUUAUAUGUUCUGGAUAAUGGCCACACAACAAACAUCAACGGAGUUUGGCUCUACACACAAGAAAAUUGAUACUAUAUGUUUUCCAUUUAUGUAAAGGAUCGGAUAUUUUGGUUAUUGGGUUGGGUCGAGUUUAUUUAUUUGAUGAAUUUUAAAAAGAAAUUAUACACGUGGACGCUGAUGUGGAAUGUAUAGUUGGCUGGCACCGCUCUUGCAUCCAGUGGACCACUCCAAGUUGAAGCCCCAUGCAUGGAUCAACUGGCUCUAAUACCAAUGUUAUAGACCAAACAGGAGAGCACAAUUCAAAAGACUAGUAUGAUGGGUGGGGCUUUUAGUGUAGAAACCCAUUAGCAUUUCUGUGGGGCAACUGGCACAUAGCACUAGUGUAAUGCAGCAAUACAGUAAAAUUUGCCUUUUUUUUUUUUUUAAUCUUUUCCAAGAUUAAAUUGGGGAAGUUGAUUCCCCUCUCAACUUGGGCUGUAAAUUAGAUGCGUCCAUGUAAUAUCCUUAUACGUCAUACCAUUAUGGAUUUAUGGUAUUUCAUGAGUUGCCGGUUAAUAGUGUAGACAUUUAACUCAGCGUGGUAGACUUCCUCCAUAUAUAUUGGUGAAAACAUGUGUGUUCAGAUUAGUAUGUGCAUACAAUGAACUGUUCAAACGAUACUUUUGCUUUACGUACGCACUUACCAUCAAAUAGUAUGAAUGUAUGUAACGAAAGUACUCUACAUGACAUCUUGCUCUAUACUAUAAAUUGCUCGAUCAGUUUUAUCCUCAGUUCGUUAAAAAUCAUCUUAUUUUUGCCCUCUUUUCAUUAACGAAGCUCCAACAUACGAGAGUGAAUUUCGGGUGUCAAAAUGAUAUCAAUGAAAAAGAUCUAAAUAUAUUCUCUAGUAUUGACUAUAUGCUUUAAAUUGCAGUUUUCUUCAGCCGCGGUCAAGGGAUACGUAGAAACAAGCCUUUCUCUUAACAUAGUAAAGACUAGACUAGACCAUACUUUUGGAUCCUUUUCCAUUUAAAAAAUUAUAUAAAAAAAGGUUAAAUUAACUUGCGCACACCUCUGAACAUUUUAGUUGUAUACCUACAACUUAAUUCUCUUAAUAGUUAAAAAGAAAUAUCUCUUUACUUUUUCAUAUUCUAACUUUUUUUUUUUUUGACAAAAUUAUGAUUCUCACUAAGGAUUAUGCUUGUAUGAUGACAGUUUGUGUAGUAGAAGAAAAAUGUACACGUUCUAAUUAUUACAAUCGCGUAUGCAGUGAAAUAUCUCCAUUUUGCUAAUGAAGUAUGCGAAGCUUUGUGCAUUAAACGAUUUGGAAAAAUUUGUGAAGCAAAAUGUGUACCUUUUUGUAUGUCCCUAAAAAUAAGGAUUGUAUUUGGUUAUUUCUCUGGAAAUAAUUAAUUUCCUACCUUUUAAUAAUUUCAAUUAUUAUAUUGAAAAGUAAAGUUUUAUCCUCUUCGUCUUAAUUGAUGUCUUGUUUCUUUUUAUUUAUUAUUAAUGUUACGUUAAAUUUGUGCUUAUUUCAAUCAACAGAGAUAUUUUUUAAGUGUGUUUAUGAAUAAAGAGUUGCUUCACUACAACUAAUAUAAUAUCAUCAUAUUGGUACCAUUCUAAAAGUGAAAACCAACAAAAGUGAGAAAGUUAAAUAAUUAAGAUAUCUAUUAAAAGUUGAACGACUUUUUUUUUUUAAGCUAAAUUAGUUAUCGUAAGGUUUGGACAAGUAAUUUCAACUGAUUGCGUUUUUAUUUUGGAGACAAUUUUUUUGUUGAAAAUUAUUAAUGAAAGAGAAUAUUUUAAUGAUUGGACAGUGCUCAAUUCAAACAUGUGAGCAUGAUCGUAUCUUAAUAUUUUCCGGUAGACAAUAUUCUUGGUGUGUGUUCUAUAUUUUAUAUUUUGAUUACUUUGGCAUAUCCAAAUUUUAUUAGAAAGAUUAUAAUGCCAAAGCUAAGGCUAAAUAUGAAAUGAUCAAUCUAAUACAUAUUCCACAAACAAGUUAAAUACAAGAAAAUUGUGUUAACACCACAAAAGAGAUUGUCUGCUAGCAGACUAAACCGAGAAGAAUAAGAUCAAGGAUAUCAAAUUAUCCUCAUUUAUAUGUACUAAAUCCGUAAUGAGUAGAAAUUUCACUCACGGCCUAAACAACGAGCAAACAUUCGAACAUGAGAGCAAGGGAUCACCCAUGGACGAGUUAAGAGGAGGAAGGGAGGCAAAAAUCAUGUUUUUAGAGAUCUAAUUCAUUCCGAUUCGAAUCUUAUCUGAAUUGCGAGAAUAAUUUACUAAGUCGUGCUAUAAGGGGUGAUUCUCCAAAUGGAACGGGGCCAAUCCUAUAAUUAGGUUGUUCAAGCUAAGUAGGUUGGGUGACAGAUCGGUUGUAGGAACCUAGGCAAUGAAAAAAGGAUCCGUUACUUCAACUAGAGGAGUGAUCAGUCGGUUUACUAAACACAUAAAAAGCUAAAAUUGAAAAAAGAUAAAUGAGGUUUUAGAAGAUCCAAAUGUACCCAACAUAUCCUUAGCUAAAAGGUGUUGCUCGAAGGGAGAAAAUGUUGGAAAAAUCAUGUAAUAUAAAAAUAAGUAUUACAAAAGGUCCUUAAUAAUUAACAAUCGAUCAUGAUAUUGCCCUAACUUGAUUAUUUGUAACUCCUACUUUAUCCAACAUAAAUAAAAGAUGAUGAAAGUAAUUAGUUCACGAAUACAUACGUGUAUAAGAAUUUGAUAAGUUUUUUUUUUUCAGUGAAAAAUGUAACGAUUUUGAAUGUAUGCAAGUGCUCUCAAUAUUUUAAGAUAAGUUUUAAAAUGUUAUAUUAUUCAAUUAAUUUAUUUAAUGGACGGUAUUUAAUUUUCUUUUGUAAUAGUUUUCAUUUAUUAGAAGGUAAUUUUACUUCUUUUGUUUUUUGUUCAAAAUUAUUAAUAAGAAUAAUGUUUAAGUGAAGAGUAAAAUAGUCUCGUUCUGAACAUAAUUAAGUGAAGGGUAAAAUAAGUUUAAAACAUUCACAUAUUUUAAAGGGAAAAUUUCAGAAAUAGCAACUAUAGAGUCUUAAUUGUAAGUUUUACGGCAAUCGUUUCAAAAUUACAAAAAAUAGCAGUAUGUAUUUUGUAUUUGAGUAAACUAUUACUAGUUAAAUACAUAUACAAUUAAAGAUUGUGUUCCUUAUAUAUCUCCAAUCUAUUUCAGUUUAAUAUGGUAAAAAAUGGUUCCUUAAAUCAAGGAACAUUUAAUUUGACAGAUUUCUUAACCUUUUAAAACUCUAUUGUUACCACAAAAGUUAAAUUACAUCUUCAAAUUCAAAUUCAAAAAUGGUUUCCAUAAUCAGCUUUUCAAUUCAAAUUCAAAAUACUCAUUCAAAUUGAAAAAUAUUUUUCUUCAAUUUUUUUUGUAAUGCUGAUCGAAUAACGUUUUGAAGAAAAUAGUAAAAAUAUGAAGGUGCAAAUACAGGUAUUUAUCAACAACUUAAUUUUUAGUUGUCAUUUAAGAAAAAUAUAAUGUGAAAUUUGCCGAAGAAAUACUUGUAUUUUUGAAGCAGUUGUAGGUUUGAAAAAAUUUUAAAUCGUAUAUUAAUUUUAGUCGUACUUGGUGUUAUAGUACUUAUUUCAUAUUUAUUAAUAUUUUUAUUGUUUUGAAAUUUCUGGAAAUUGAUAAUGGGAAGUAUAACUGUUCUUAUUAAACACUUUGGUAGAUGGACAUAUGAAGAACAAUAUGAAGAUUACACCAGUGAUGCGAUAUUUGAGCAUAAACUCUACGUAUGACCAACUUUACACAGUACUGGCUACUCAUUGAUGUUGAUUUGACGUACAAGUGUAUUCAAAUCGAGUAUCAAUUAAUAGAUAGUGCAGGGCAAAUACGUAUACGUAAUGACAUGGGUUUGAAGGUCUAUAUUAUGCAGAAAAAGGAAUUGAAGGAUAUUGGUAUUUUUCCUUUGUAUGUAAGUGUUUCUGACAAAGAAAAUUUCAGCACAUUGGUAUGUUCAUCGUUGUGUACUGGCGAACCUAUAAAGAUGUUUGUCACUAAUAGUUAACCUAUAAAGAUGUUUGUCACUGAUAGUAACUUGGUAAAUACAAGUAAUGAAAGAGCGUUAAUUGUUCCUGCUUCAAAUCAAUGUUUGGAUGCAUUUGAAAUGGAUACAACUAGAGUUAUUAACUUAGACCCAAAUCAUAAACAUACUGAGGUUGAUCAAGUUUAUAUCUCAAAAAGUAUAUUAAAAUGGUAAUGAAAGAUUAUACAAUUCGAGAGAAGUUUGAAUCACUAUCUGCACGAUCUAGUACAACAGGGUAAGUUUAUUGUGAAUUUUAAUUUUUUUUUUUGCAAUAUGUGUUAAUUGUAUUUGAGCAUAUGUCUUUGUUUUUGUUUGCAGUUAUACAUUGUUGUGCAGAUUCAGAAAUUGUGAAUUUUUAUUCCGUGCAUCUGCUAUCGGUGAAUCUACAAUGUUUUAUGUAAGAGAAUUUUUACCUGAACAUACUUGUCCGAUCAAAGAUAAGAUUUAUCAUAAAUUGCAUAGUACUAGUAAGUUGAUUGGUGGUAUAGUCAAAGCAAAGUUAGAAUGCCACAAGAGGAAAUAUAGUCCAUCUGAUAUCAAAAGUGACAUGAAGGAAGACAUGGGUAUUGAUUUAACAUAUAUUACGUGUUGGCGAGCUAAGGAACAAGCACUUGAAGAUUUAAGAGGAAAAUCAUUAGCAUCGUACGGAAAACUACCUAUAUACAUACAUGUGUUGAACACCACUUAUCCAGGUUCACAUAUAAGAAUGAAAAAAAAUGAAGACAAUGAGUUUUUAUAUAUAUUUGUAGCACUAACUGCAUUCAUCCAAGGUUUGAUCAUUGUAGACCUGUCAUAGUAGUUGAUGCAAGUCAUCUCAAGGGACUUAUACUGACAGUUUCAUAGCAAUGUGUACCAUGGAUAGAGUUGGUAAGAUAUAUAUGAUAAGUAUUUGGCUAAAAAUUAUUUUUCAGUUGUAUGUAUUUAUAAUAUACAUAUAUGAAUUAUGUUUAUGUGAUCAGUGUCAGUUGUAUUUGAAAAUAUACAUGUGCAGUAGAGUUUUGUUUGUGCACUGAAACUUAAGUAGUUUACUUCACAAAUAUUUUCAAGUGUAUGUAUGUAUUUAUAAUAUACAUGUGCAUAAUUUACAUAUGCAAUAGUUCUAUUUGUGCACUGGAAGUUAAUUAUUUCACUUCACAUAUGUUUCCAGGUAUAUGUAUGUAUUUAUAAUAUACAUAUGCAUUAUUAUAUUUUUAAAAAAUCAUUUAAGCUUUAUUUUUUUUUCAACAUUCAUGACAUAUAUUUUCUUUGGCUUAUGGUGUACUGGACUCUGAAAAUGAUGCAUCUUGGAGGUGGUUUUUCGAGAAUCUGAAGGAAGCAUACGGUGAAAGAAAAGAUAUGUGUGUCGUUUCUGAUCGUAAUGCAAGCAUCAUAAAAGCUGUCAGUAACGUGUAUAAUGAGGUACCACAUUAUUCGUGUAUGUGACAUCUAUGGGGAAAUGUGAAUUUUUUUUUUUGAAAAUCACAUGAUGCAUUAUCAGAUGUCUUCUAUACCAUGGCAAAAUCAUAUUUGAAGACUGAAUUUCACAUAUUAAUGGAGAAAGUGGAGGUAGUUGAUGCUAGAGUGAAGAAUUACUUGGAAUUGACUGGUUACGAUAAGUGGGCUAGAUCGUAUGCAUCCGUUCAUAGAGGAUGGACUUUGACUUCAAAUAUUGUCGAGUCCAUUAAUGCUGCGCUGGUUUCAGCUAGAGAACUACCAAUAUAUGAUUUUUUGGAGGAAGUUAGAUUGAUGUUUGGAAGAUGCAACUGUGAAAAUAGAUAGCAGGCAUUGUAUACUUUUACGGAUCUUAUUGGUAAAUUUCAAGAAAUUCUUCAACAGAAUGAAGCAGAGUGUACACGUAUGGAGGUAUGAUGAAUUUUUGUAUGAAGGUACGAUGAUUUUUUUGUAAUCAUUUUAUAUAUAUAAUAGUAUUUUCAUUUUUUAUAUGAACUAUAUAUCUUUUUUAAAUAAUAAACUAAGGAAAAUAUAUUCUGUAAAACAAAUACAUAUGCAGGAAAGAAAUACAUACUUUGCUGACUUGCAAUAUACAUACAUUGAGAUGAAUUUUAUUUUACUAAUUUUUUUUAAAAAUAAUUUCAGGUUAUACCCGCAUCAGAGUACAUCUAUACAGUCCAUGACAUGGAGAAACAUUUUAUUGUUUGUCUUAAGGAAAAAAAUGUUCUUGCAAUGCAUUUCAAUUGGAUGAGAUACCGUGUGUUCAUGCUUGUGUAGUUCUUGAUAGCAAGAAUUUCAAGAAGGAACCAUAUUGCUCUGAUCUAUACAAGCCAAAAACCAUCUUGAUAACAUAUUAUCUUCCAAUUAUCCUCUACCACACAAAGAUGACUGGGUGAUUCUGAAGAAAAUUAUGGAUGAGGUAGUUCUGUCGCCGAAACAAAAGCGACCCCCUGAAAGACCUCCGAAGAAGGACCGUAGAAAAUCCGGACGAGAUAUGUUUGGAAAGAAGAGCAAAAAUUAUUAUAGUUCAUGUGGAUUAAAAGGUCACAAUAGGCGUUCAUUUAGGAAAUACAACAAACGAUAACUUGAUUGACGUAUUAAGUGAAUAAACAAUUGAUGAUUUUUUUCAUUUAUGAAAAAUAUAUGUGAUUUUCAAUUUUGAUAAAUAUUUUUUAUAUUAUUGUAGUUGUCAUUCUUAAUUUGGUGAUAUUAUAUGUAAGAUACUUUAAGCUAAACAUAAAUCUGAAAAAUACAUAUUAUACUCUUUUAAGUACGUAUGAACAUAUAGAAAAACUAAUAAUAAGUUAACUUAUUAUUCAUAAAUAUACAUAUGUGAAGGAUUGAUGAUGUGAAUUAUUCCUAAAUAAAUACGAAAAAUUAAAUAUAUAUGUAGAACAUUAAAGUUACACAUUAACAAGAAAUGAAAAAAUAUGUAGAAUAUUAAACAAACAUGAUUAUGUAGAACACAAAUAUAUAUAUGUAGAACCAAUAUUAAACUGUAACAUAACAACCAAGAACCACUAGUAUAUCUUUGAACAUUAAAAGUUACUGAUUGAAAAUAAGAAAAAUAUGUAGAACACAAAUAUAUAUGUAGAACCAAUAUUAAACUGUAACAUAACAACAAUUAAUCAAUAGUAUAUCUUUGAACAUUAAAAGUUACUGAUUGAAAAUAAGAAAUAUUCAACAACUUGUUUGUCCAACUAAUGUCAAAUAAUGUAAACUACAGCAAAAUAAAAAGAAACAUCAAAUUUUAUGAAUUUCAGUGUCUUCUGUCAAAUCAAUUUCACGAGGAGGUCUCAUUGGUGCUUCAUCAUCACUUUGUGCAUUCUCUUCUUCUUUCUUCAUAUCAUAAUUUCACAAAAUUGAAGCAUAUCUCGUACGAAUCAGAUCUGGAUCAAAAUCAACAGGUGAAACAAGAUCUCCAAAGGUGAGACACUCGGCAUAUGUCACCAUAUAUAAACCACAAUCCCUGCAAAUACAUAUAUAAAGAAAUAAGAAUCUGUUCUAUAAAAAUAAUAUAUAUGUAUAUAUACAAUUGAUAUGUAUAUGAAUACUUAGAAACUGCCACUUGAUUGUUGAGGCAAAUCCUCUACAACAUAAACAUCAAAUAGAUCCAUGUUGUCAUAGGAUUUAUAAUUUGGAUGAUUAGCAGUAUCAAUAUCCUUCUUUUCGUAAAAUUUACAAGCAACGAGACAUAUAGGUAUAACCUCAGCUAACUUUUCAUCUUUAGUAAGUACCCCAGCAUCAUGACCAGCAGAAGACAAAGAAUCAUAUACAUAAAUGCAUCUAUCAUUAAAAGAUAUAACCGCAAGAAUCCAAUGAUGAUUGGCCUUAACGUUGAUAGGAAUGAAAAUAUGAACAACCGUAUGCCAAGGCACUGUAGCAUGCAUGCGGAAUCCAUUUAUGUACUCAUUCAGAUGGUAUUCCUUUCCACCAGCAUUAAGAGAAUCAUCACCAAUUCUAUACACAGCUAGCACACUAUUUAUAAUAUUCAUGAAAUUACAGUCUACAGUGCUGUACUUGUAUGAAGUAUUCGGAUCAUACUUAGAUUUCUUUCGCAGAUAGUAGAAGCAUACAUCAAUAUGCUGCAUUAUGACAAAAAAAACAUACUUAAAAGUAAAUAAUGAAAUUAAAAAUCCUAGUAGGUAACACUACAUAUGUAUAUAUAUAUAUAUAUAUAUAUAUACAUAAUAUACAUAUAUCAGAGCAUAUAGAAUAAAAACAUAUGUAUAUACAAAUAUAAUUUUUCAACUUCAUCAUAACAAAUAAUUACAUAUGUAUUUGCGAAUAUACAUAUGUAAAAUGAAUAAAGUUUCAUUUCAAAUAUAAAAUUUUUUCACUUAUUAGCAGAACACUUACCUCAUCAGACCAUGAUUGUCCAGGAGUAUCCAUAAUGUAGAACCAAUUCUUGUUUUCCACAGCUAAAACUCUAAAAUUAAUUACUGAUAUUUUGGACUUGCCCUUCUUAUAGUGUUCUUGUUUGUUGCUUCUGUUUAGUUAUUAAACAUAAUGAUUCAUCAUUAAUAGAAACUUAUAUAUAAAUAUUAUUACAAUUAGGUGCUAAAAUAUAUACCUUUUUGCAUGAAAUUUAAGAAUAUCCACAGACAGUCACUUCAGAAACUUGUUGGUAACCUUAGUGUCUUCUAUAUCAUUAAUCGGAUGAGAUACGAAUGGAUGCUUCUGAUUGAAUAUUUUGCGCUCCCCUUCUAUACAAUGAUAUUACAUAAUAAUGAAACAGAUGUAUUUAUAUAAUACAUCUGAAAAUUACAGUAUCAAAAAUGUAUACAUAACUGUAGCAUAUCUAUAUUAUGAGUACAUCAGUUAUACAUAUUGAAGUUAUCGAAAAAUAAAACAUAAACAUGAUUCCAAGCUAACAUAAAAAUGAUGUAUUUUAAUUGUUUAGAAUUAAUCCAAUUAACAUACUUGUCAUAACCCAAAUCUAAUGAAUAACAAAAACAACAUAACAUUAAAUACAAAUCUUAGUAGUAAUCUAAACAAAUACAUAUCUAAAGUUUAUCAUGUCAAAGAAGUGUCACUAAUGUAGUGGUGCUUAUUUGCAGGUUACAUGUCAUAUUUCUUAGCCAUUAAAAAAUAACAAGAAAUUACUAUUUCUAAAAUAUAUAAAGUAAAGAAAUUUGUUAACCAUAUUUAACAUGUUAGUGUACUUACCAGAUGCUGAACCAAAAUUCAUUGUGAAUGGUGACUCUUUGAAUCUAGAUGGUCGCUUAAUCCUUGAUACAUGCAUGGGCGUUUCUUGUGCUUUGUUUACCGGUGGAUGUAUAAUUAUACUUCUUUCUUGAUUCAUAUAUGCAUUAAGACUCGAUAAAAGCUCAUCAGGAAUAGUGACUUGCGAGUCUGAAAAAUUUUGUUUAGCUUUUCUUUCUUCAGUUAACGCUACAUGAAUGUGGACCGAAACUGAUUUUGCUGAUUCAACUUUAAGUUAUCCCUAUUAAAUUCUACUGGAUUUAAAAUCUUUUCAGCAUCACAUUUAUUAUCCUGUAUAUAAUAUAUAAAUACGUUAUAAUGUUGCAACAUUAGCAAAAUAAAUAAAAGAAGAGAAUGAUACCUUUGAAUCAUCUUUUGGUGAUUUAUUUUCAUUCAUUUCAGCCUGAUAUUCUUUUGAUGUGUCUACAAUCUUUUCAGCAUCACAUUCAUUGUUCUGUAUAAAAAUGUUAUAAUGUUGCAAAGUAGCAAAAUAAUCAAAUGCAGACAAUGCUACAUUUAACUGAUCUUUUGUUGAUUUAUUUUCAUCCAUUUGUGAAGGAUAAUUUGUGUUUUGUAUAAUAAAUAUAAAAUUCUUGUUAAAGUGAUUUUAAAGCAAAAGAAAUAAACGCAGACAAUACACAUUUCCAGUAUACCUUGGACUCAUUUUCUGCUGAUGUAUUCACAGUUGUUUCUGCAGCACCUCCUGUGUUCUAUAUAAACAUAGAAAUAUUUUGUUAAUCUGAAAGCUUAUGAAAAUAAAUGAAGACAUAAAUUGUAAAUACCGUAGACUCAUCUUCAACUCCCAAAUUGGAUUUUAUGAAAUCAAGAUUAAUGCUUUUGAGCACCUCCUUUGAAAAUGAGAAUUGAGAAUCUGAUAUAUGUGCUUCGCCGAUAUUAUCAUCAACCAAUUUUGUGUUCUACAAAUCACAGUAGUACAAAUUAAAAAACAACACCAGAUGUCUUUAACUAAAAAAUAUCAUAGAUAUAUUUAGCAUACCGGUGAUUCACAUAUAUGUCUUGCUUCAUGCUGAUCAAUAUCAGUUUUAUCCUUUCAUAAAUGAUAAAGUCAAGCGUAUUAAAAUAUUAUUAUUCUACUAUAUAAAAAGCAUGAAAGAAAUAAAAUAAACUAUUUACCAGAACAUCAUCUUUAUCCUCAUUAUAUACCUCCAUCAAACUAGCGCUUUGAUUCCCGUUGAUCUCUUCAGUAACCUGUAGCACAUGUAUAAUUCUUAUAUGUAAACAUAAAUGCACAUUUUAUAAAUAAAAUACAUAUGAUUGUAAAUAAUUAACUUACCAAUGUGUCUUUAGAAUUCUUAUAAAGAUCAUGCACAAAAUUUGAACUGAAUUUAUGGUGUGGUGUAGUCUUGACAGCUUCACCCAUGGGUGGAUUGUCAACUUGAAUGUCCUUAUCUUUUUUCUACAAGUUCAAAAAAUAUUAAAAAAUAUCAAGAACAAUAUUAAACUAACUAUUUAUAAUUGCUCAGCAUAUGUAUAUAUGAUUAUACAUAUCAUGAUUUGAAAAAAUACAUAAUACAAAUGUAAAAAUACAGUAUAUAUUGCACUUGUCUUUAUUCAAACACAACUGUAUAAGCAUAAUAUGUAUUUAACACAUCAUGUGUUAUACAUACUACCAACUGUAUAUUCAUAUGUAUAUAUAAAUAUACAUAUUAGCAUUAAAAUGCAUAUUACCAAUUGUAUAUUUAUAUGUAUAUACUAUUUAAAAAAAUACAUAAUACAACUGUAUAUUCAUAUGUAUAUAUGAAUAUACAUAUUAGUAUUUAGAAAAAAAUACCUAUAAUCUAUAAAAAGAAGACACUGUUUUUUAUAUAUGUAUAUCAUAAAUCAUAAAAUACAUAUGUUGUAUAUGUAUUCAACAUUCAAAAUAUUUUUUAAAAUUAUUGUACCUUGAUCUCACUAAUAGCAUUCAUUAUCGCAUCACACCUUGUUGAUACUAGGCCACGGAUGUAUUUCAUCUCUUGAAGAACCUGCUUCAAAAUAAAUAAAUUAUAUAUGAAAACGAAGCAAUUCAAAACUUAAAAACAAAUUUCCUUAUUACGAAACUUGUGAAACACUUUCUUUGAUACAAAAUCAUCUUCAUCUUCAGAACUGCACAAAGACAAAUCAGAUGACUUAAUCAGAAUAGAUUUCUUGCUUGCUGACCGGUUUAUGUCUUUCCUCUUUGAAGAUACUUUCUCUUUUUGUUGAAUCGGCAUAAAAAUUGGAGUCCUGACAGAAAGCUUCUUUGCAGCACGAGGUGGAGAGGUCCUUUUUGGUGUCUGCUCAUCCAAACCUUUAUGUUGUUGCUUCAACUUUUUCUUGACAGGUAAAGAUGAUGAAUCAUCAUGAUGUUUUUUUCGGGUGAUUGAAUAUUUUUUUGGAUGUGGCAGAUCCUGAAAAUCAUCAUCCGAAUUAACCUCAUCAUCUUUGUGACUUACACCUGCAGGAACAACCUUCUUGGGUAUCCGAAAGCAUGAAAUCUCCUUUCGUGUUGGCUCAAUAUUCUUAAAAGAAACCUACAAUUAUAUUGCAUCCUCAUCAAAAUUUAUUUUUAGAUGGUAACACCAAUGACAGUUGGAACAUAAAUCACUUACAUUAGAAAAUAUUUAGCCUUUACAUACAUGCCUAAUCAUUGACAAAUAUAUUUUGUAUAUAAACAUAUGCAUAAACAUUAAACGCAUUUACAAAUAAUAACAUAAAGAACAAAAGAUAUAAAGGUAACUGAUCUUGACAUCUGCUUCAUUAAACAUGCUUUUCAUAAGAGAUUUGUAUCGUGGAUGGGGAGCAUUUGUUUUCCAAUUCAAAAGACGGGGAAUUUGAUUGUCCACCCUUGAAGCAACAUUACGAGGAAAAGUGGAGCAGCACUCGUACAACCAAAUUUGAAUGGCCAGAGGCAUUCCAUGUAGCAUAUAAAACUUGCCUUUUGGUUUCAACUUUUUAUUCAAGCUCUUUGCUAAUUCCUCAAAUGCAAUAGACCCCCAAGGAUAAUCACUGUAGUGACCACUCUCAACUAAAUUUAAAUAUAGCCGCAGAAUUAUUACAGUAUCAACAGCAGACAACAAAAAUACAUGAAUAAAAUAGAGAUUAGCAAACUUCACGGCAUCUUCAUCAUUGUCUUUUCCCCAUAUUUUUCUAGAAAAAGCAACAAAUAAUUCUCUUUUUUGAAUAUACUUGGCACCACCAAAAUAGUCCUCAAUAAGUCUAUUCGGAAGAUCUUCAUCAAACACAAAAUCAUCCUUGUUUGAAACACAAUUCAAACCAGUAACCACAACAAACUCUCUAGGAUUAAAAUGAAGAUUUGUGCCCUUCGCACGAAUUACUAUGGAAUUUGUAGUGCUUUCCUUAGUGUCAAGCGACAUAAUACAUCUUCCAAACUGCGCUUGAACCACAUAACUCUUUUUCUUCAUGAAGACAGUAAAUAUGCUAUUAUUACAAAUGAUAUUAUACUGAUUCUUCGUUAAAGUUGACUUAAUGCGAUGUUCAAUGUCAUUGACAGUAUGACAUCCUAUAUGUGGAGCAAAUUUUGGCAAUAUACUUGCCAUGUAUAUCUGAUCACGCAAAAUUUAUACACCACAAAAUACAAUUAUAUAUCAAAACAGUGGCAUAUAUGUAUUUAUGAAAUACAGCUUAAAGUUACAUUAUUCCUAAAUUAAAUCUAAAAAAGAAAAAUUCAUAUGUAUUUUAUUUAUACAUAACUAUGUCGAAAAAUCAUUCAAAUUAACAAGAAGAUGUACAUGACUUUGUCUAAAUCAAAUUAAUAAAAAAUACAACUUGACAUCAAAUACAAACAUUAACAGUAAACAAAACAAAAAAAUAUCUAUAUUUUACAUGUCAAAAGAGUGAGAAUUAUGUAUUUACAGAAUACAACUAAUUACAAUAAACAUGUAGAUAUGUAUUUUAUGAAUACAACAAGUAUAUACAAAUUAUAAAUUUCACAAAAAUACAUAUAAUUAGGGGCUACAAUUUCAUAUCUUAACAACCUUAAGAAACUAAAAUAUCACAAAUACAUAUAAUUAGGGGCUACAAUUUCAUAUCUUAACAACACAAUAUACACUAAAAUUUCAAAUCAUAAAGAAACGAAAAAUUAAAUACAUACCUAAUAAAGUGUAUAUAGAAAAUACAUCUAUGAACAUGUUUUCAAGAAAGAUACAAAAUUUAAAAAAUAGAAACAUACCUCCUCCACUUUCUCUUCUUCUGAUUCAAAAUCAGAUGAAACAGGACUUGAAAUUUUAAUACAUUCACCUUUUUCAUUUGGCUUUGUCUUUUUCAUUGAUUUUUGAAUUUUUGGGGGUUUUGGGGAUGAAGGUUUUGUCAACUCUUUUCGCUUCAUUUUUUCACAAUAUUGGGCGGCAAGGUGCAUCAGGGAGAAUGCAAGUGAGGUGUUGGGUGUUUCUAGGGGCCGGGUCGGGCACCGUCGGGGGGAUUGGUGGUGGAAUGAAGAGGUGGAGAAGAAAGUGGGGACCAAGAAAGGGGCGUAUGCUAAGUUGGUGGAAAGUAAGGACGAAGAGGAGAAGCGGGUAAACAGGAAAGAGUACAAGCUAGCGAGGAAGGAGGCGAAGUCAGCAGUCACGGCAGCUAAGACGACCGCUUUUGAGAGCUUGUAUGCAGGGUUGCAAGAGAAAGGAGGGGAGAAAAAGUUGUUUAGACUCGCUAAGGCUAGGGAGAGGAAGGGUCGUGACCUCGAUCAGGUGAGGUGCAUUAAGGGGGAGGACGGUAGAGUGUUGGUGGAGGACGGCCACAUAAAGAAGAGAUGGCAGUCGUACUUUCAUAGGCUCUUGAAUGACGAGGGGGACAGAGCUAUUGUGUUAGGGGAACUGGAGCACUCAGGGGAGUGUCGGGAUUUUAGCUAUUGUAGACGUUUUAAGGUAGACGAGGUUAGACAGGCAGUCAAGAGGUGAGGCGUGCUGUCCGUAGGAGGCGAAGGGGUAGGGCGACGGGGCCGGAUGAGAUACCGGUGGAAUUUUGGAAGUUCGUUGGAGAGGCUAGUGUAAGGUGGUUGACUGAAUUUUUUAAUGAAAUCUUCAGGACGGCAAAGAUGCCCGAGGCGUGGAGGUGGAGUACCAUGAUCCCUCUCUAUAAGAAUAAGGGGGACAUUCAGAGUUGCAAUAACUAUAGGGGGAUUAAGUUACUGAGUCACUCUAGGAAGAUCUGGGAGAGAGUGGUCGAGGUGAGACUGAGACGGAUAGUAUCUAUUUCGAAAAACCAGUUUGGAUUUAUGCCCGACCGCUCGACGACGGAGGCAAUCCACCUGGUACGGAGGUUGGUGGAGCAAUAUANNNNNNNNNNNNNNNNNNNNNNNNNNNNNNNNNNNNNNNNNNNNNNNNNNNNNNNNNNNNNNNNNNNNNNNNNNNNNNNNNNNNNNNNNNNNNNNNNNNNNNNNNNNNNNNNNNNNNNNNNNNNNNNNNNNNNNNNNNNNNNNNNNNNNNNNNNNNNNNNNNNNNNNNNNNNNNNNNNNNNNNNNNNNNNNNNNNNNNNNNNNNNNNNNNNNNNNNNNNNNNNNNNNNNNNNNNNNNNNNNNNNNNNNNNNNNNNNNNNNNNNNNNNNNNNNNNNNNNNNNNNNNNNNNNNNNNNNNNNNNNNNNNNNNNNNNNNNNNNNNNNNNNNNNNNNNNNNNNNNNNNNNNNNNNNNNNNNNNNNNNNNNNNNNNNNNNNNNNNNNNNNNNNNNNNNNNNNNNNNNNNNNNNNNNNNNNNNNNNNNNNNNNNNNNNNNNNNNNNNNNNNNNNNNNNNNNNNNNNNNNNNNNNNNNNNNNNNNNNNNNNNNNNNNNNNNNNNNNNNNNNNNNNNNNNNNNNNNNNNNNNNNNNNNNNNNNNNNNNNNNNNNNNNNNNNNNNNNNNNNNNNNNNNNNNNNNNNNNNNNNNNNNNNNNNNNNNNNNNNNNNNNNNNNNNNNNNNNNNNNNNNNNNNNNNNNNNNNNNNNNNNNNNNNNNNNNNNNNNNNNNNNNNNNNNNNNNNNNNNNNNNNNNNNNNNNNNNNNNNNNNNNNNNNNNNNNNNNNNNNNNNNNNNNNNNNNNNNNNNNNNNNNNNNNNNNNNNNNNNNNNNNNNNNNNNNNNNNNNNNNNNNNNNNNNNNNNNNNNNNNNNNNNNNNNNNNNNNNNNNNNNNNNNNNNNNNNNNNNNNNNNNNNNNNNNNNNNNNNNNNNNNNNNNNNNNNNNNNNNNNNNNNNNNNNNNNNNNNNNNNNNNNNNNNNNNNNNNNNNNNNNNNNNNNNNNNNNNNNNNNNNNNNNNNNNNNNNNNNNNNNNNNNNNNNNNNNNNNNNNNNNNNNNNNNNNNNNNNNNNNNNNNNNNNNNNNNNNNNNNNNNNNNNNNNNNNNNNNNNNNNNNNNNNNNNNNNNNNNNNNNNNNNNNNNNNNNNNNNNNNNNNNNNNNNNNNNNNNNNNNNNNNNNNNNNNCGUGUUCCAUGUUUUAUUACGAAUCUGUGUGCUUUCCUCUUCUUUCCUUUGUUUUAUAUUACUUAUGGGUGCCGUAUUUAUGUUAUGUAAUCUACUUCUGUGCUUUACUAUGUGUUUGUGUGGUAUCUCGUGUCUUGAGCCGGGGGUCUAUCAAAAACAGCCUUUCUACUUCAUCAGAGGUAGAGGUAUGGACUGCGUACAUCUUACCCCCCCAGACCCCACUAGGUGGGAAUACACUGGGUUUGUUGUUGUUGUUGUUGUUGUUGUUACAGUGCUUCAAUCUCACUCCUUCACUGCUAACACCUUCCUUAGGCUGAAUAUUAGAAGAACCCAAGUUAAAAACUUCAUCUUGAGUUAAGCCGAGAUUAAAAGAUGGAAGUUCAUCAAAAACUAAAUCCAUCGAUUUAUUACCACUAACUGAAAUACUACCCUUUGCAUGUUGUGCCAUUAUAUCGAAAAAUCAAAGAUUUCAACACACUCAAAAAAAAAAUCAAACCCUAAUUGACGACGAAGAAGAUGAAUGAAAAAUUAAAAAAAAAUCGACAAUAAAACAAUUAAAAGAGUUUAUAUGGAAAAUAUAACAUGCAUUAAUUGAAAAAUAAACUUACCUUAAAAUUUGGAUGCAAAGAUUAUCAAGAUUUUGAGAGAAAAAAAAUAAAAUUUGAAAAAAAAAAAAGAGUUGGAGGGAAUUGGAAUUGGAAUAUGGCGUGAAAAAGGGAGAAGGUAAAAAAGUUGAGUUAAUGUCACGUGCUUUUCCCAAUAUAAGGUAAAAUAUUGCUAGUUUUGUUAUUAGUUGUAAUUUUUAAAACUAUUGCUAUAAAUUGUAAUUAAUGUCUUAAGGUUGUUAGUUUAUGUAAUUUUUUCUAUUUUAAAAUAGUACUAAAAUACACGUUUAUCUCCCAACGUUUAGUGCAAAGUUUGUUUUACAAUAUAUAUGAUAAUUUUAAAUGGCACACACAUACUCAUUAAAGUGCCCAAUGACCACUAGUUAACAUUAAAGUGUCUAAUUUAUAAGGUUAAUCAAGUUUAAGAGGCUAUAUAGGUAUGUAAUCAUUUAUUUAUAAUUAUUUUUUUUUAAUUUGUUAUUCGGUGUCCGCUACUCACGUUAGAAUUUGAUUCAUUCGAAUUUUUGCCAGGAGGUCCUUCUAUGGGGGGUAAAGCGCUUCCUACCAAAGGUGACUCCAUAUUUAGGGCUCGAACUCGAGAUCUCUGAUUAAAUAUGGAGAAGUACUUACCACUCUAUCAAAACCUUUAGGGAUCGUUUGGUAGAGUGUAUUGGAAUGUUAAUGCAUACAUUAGUUUAAUGUGUAUUAGUAGUACCUUGUUUGGUAUAUCUUUUUACCCUAUGUAUACAUUAGUUAUACACUCAAUUGUGUAUUGAGGUGAGUAUUACUAAUACCUCAAAAUCCAUGACAUUAGUAAUGCAAUGGAUCUAAUGUAUGCAUUAAUAUGCUUAAAGACCCUAUUACUCCUCAAAAAAAAUUUCACAUCCUUUCCAAUAUAUAUAUUGAGGGUAUUAUGAAUUUUUUUUUUUUUAGAAAUUAUGUGAUUCAUGUUUUUUUUUUAUUACAUCGAACCAAACACUGCAUAAGAAAACAAGCAUAACUAACACAAAUAUUACUAAUACACCAUAUUUUACAUUAUUCUUAUACACUCUACCAAACGAUCCCUUAGUGUUUUAAAACCAAAAUCUUAUUCAGUCCUAACAAUUUAUUGAAUUUGGAAUAUAUGCAUGUAUGUAAAUGCCGUGUAUUAUAUAGAUUAUUAUUUUCGUAAAUCAGAACAUCUUCAGCGAGUAAUAGAUUACCUUCCAAAAAUAGUGAGUCAAGAUUGGCUAUUGAUCUUUUUUCAAGUCCUUGAGAAAUGUCCAAAUUAAAAUUUUAAUAGAGACACUUAAUUUACGGAAAAUCAGAUUUAACUACUGAUAUUAUAUCAAGUUUUCAAAUUAAAAUUUUUAAUAGAGAUAGAUACUUAUCAUUUUUUAGGAAAUCAGAUUUAACUAUUGGUAUAUUAUGACAAGUCUUUAAAGAAAGGUCCAAAUUAAAAUUUUAAUAGAGACACUUAAUUUGCAUGAAAUCAUAUUUAACUACUGAUAUUAUAUCAAGUCUUCAAAGAAAUAUUCAAAUUAAAAUUUUUAAUAGAGAAAGAUACUUAUCAUUUUUUAAGAAAUCAGAUUUAACUAUUGGUAUAUUAUGUCAAGUCUUUAAAGAAUGGUCCAAAUUAAAAUUUGAUUAAGAUACUUAUAAUUAGCCUAACUUGUAUAUAAACAUGGAGAGUGUGCCCAAAAAACUCAUAAAUCAUAUACACUACAUUGUUUUUUAUUGGUGAUAGAAAAAUGGCAAUGUCUCCAAAAACUUUUUUGGUCUUUCUUGUUCUUGCUGCCACUGCAUUAGGUAUCUUUUUUUCUAGAAUAAAUUAUUAUAGUCAAAUUGUUUGGGGUUCAAAUAUACAAUUUGUUGUAAUUUUAGUAAAAUUUUGCACAUAAAUUUAUACUAUUAGUUAAAAAUAUUAGGUUCAAAUGAAUGCAGUGUUAAAACACUGCAUCCAUCCUUAGUAAUUAUUAUUACUAAUGUUUUUAUUUAUAUUAAAGAAAGUAAAAUUAACUCUUACAAAUGUCUGAGCAUUAUAGUUAUUUUUUUUUUUGGUAAAGAAGGAGCAUUAAAUUAAAUUGUACAGUUUGUUACAAGCAUAGCCCACUAAUCAGUCGGGCUCAAAAACAUCCGCAUAUAGUUAAUACAUAGUUUAAUGUUUCUGCUAAAUUGAGUUCCUAAAAUGUUUGCCCAGACAUGCUUUAGUGCAUACAUAGGCGGAACUUCCAAAAUAUGGGUGUUGCCAAAAAAUUUCAUCCUUGCUCCUUCCUUUGAUUGAGAGUCUGUCUCUUGGUUCUGCUCCCUAAAAUAGUGUUUCACCAGUGGAAGUCCCACCCUUCUCACAGACCUACAAGCAUAUGAUUGGGUUAUAGUGAAGAUUUUAUGUUUAAGCAUGUGGAUUAUCUUUUUGGAAUCAACAUUAAUUUCAAGAGGAUUGAGGUUGUUAGCUUAUGCUAACUUCAGGCCUUCCAGAAGUGCAAUUAGCUCCAUUUGGUUGUUGAUUGCUUUGGAAAUCUCUUACAGAACCCCAGUAUCCAGCCCCCCUUGUCAUUUCUAAUUGUGCCUCCCACACCUUCAAUUCUGGGAUUUUCUAGGCAUGAACCAUUGGUAUUAAGUUUAUAGGAACCUCUUGAAGAGGUGUUCCAUUUAACGGAAACAAAGAUGGUUUGGGGGGCUUGAGUCUGUGGAGUGUUAGUCAGGUAAGUAAACUCCACAGCUGCAGCAUAUGCAUUCUCAAACUUGGGUAAAGCAUUGAGAUUUUUAAAAACGUUCUCAUUCCAACAUUUUCAAACCCCCCAAAGACAGAAAGCAGUUAAGACAUCAAAACUAAUGCGGUUGUAAAGGGGUGUUAUGAAAUCAGGUCUUGGUUUCAUCAAGCAUGUCAUCAUCUAUGACAUUUGGGAGGUUGGGUCUUGGGCAUCCCAUUUUUGUGAAUAGGCAUGUCCAGAUGACAGAUGUCUAAGGGUAAUCCCAGAACAGAUGGAUAAUGAUUUCAGGAAUGGUAUUACACUUCCAACAGUUGGGUUAUAUCGGAACUCUCGUCUUGUUGAGGGUAAAGUUAUACGAUAACCUAUUAUGAUUGAGAAGGCAAAGAAAGUGUUUGAUCUUGUUGAAAAUUUUCAUGGCCCAGAUCCAUUUGAAUUCUUUAGAGUUGGUGUGUUUUUUAUUUCCAGUGCUGAUAAGUUUAUAAGGGUUGCUACUGGUAAAGAUGUCAUUGAUAGUUAAUCCUCGGAUAGGGUAAUCAUUGGGAGUCCUAGUAGUAGGGAAGAAGCUGCUUUGGAUAGUGGAGAGAGGAAGCUCAAAUGGGAGGGAAGAGAAGUCCCAAGUACCAUUCCUCCAAAUAUCUGAGACUUUGAUUUGAUGGAGAUUUCUAGUUGCAGGUUUCUGAAUAGUAUUAGAAAGAAGCUUAGUGUUAGGUAACCAUUUAUCAAUCUAGAAGUUAACUUGGUCUCCCUUGUUGAUGAUCCAAAGGGUGGCUUCUUUGCAAAUUCUUUUUUCAUUAAUGAUGCAUUUUCAAGUUCUAGAAACCCCACUUUUGUUGUUAAUUUGGGAGUAUUUGUUGACUAAAACCCUUGACCAGAGAGUCUGGGUUUUUUAAUGAGCCUCCAGGCUAGAGAGGUGUGUAUAGAAGUGUUCUUUAGACUAACCUUUUGGAUUCCCAACCCUCCCAUGUUUUUGGGUUUAGUGAUCACCUCCCAGCUGAGCAUAUGCAUUUUUUUUAGCAUCAAUAGUGUCCCAAAUGAAAUUCCUUUGGAUUUUGUUUAUGUGAUAGUUGGUUCUGUGGGGAAUAGGGGUGUAUUGUAUAACAUGGUUAGGAAUGAUGUUAAGAGAGGCCUUUGCAAUAGUGAUUCUAUGAGACUACAACUCAACUUGCUUAAUAGGUAAAUAUAUAUAUAUAUAUAUAACUGUUUUCGAUAAAAAUUUUGAUCUUAUCACUAAUGAAGCGCAUUUAAUGACAGGUUGUGUAUCUGAUGAACAUUGUCACGAUUCAUGUUCCACAUAUUACAGUAAAGUAUGCCUAGAUAUUACUAGCAAUAAUGCAUGUAAAUCUUUUUGCUCAAGAUGAUUUGGAAGAAUUUGUGAUGCAAGAUGUAUAAUAGAUGACAAAGAUCUUGUUUGUGAAUGUCUCCUUCCAGAAGAUGAAUGUCCUUAAAAUUAAGUAAGGGUUGCAUUUAAUUUGUUUUCCUUUUCUCUUUUGCUAUUUUUCUUGAAAUAAUUAAUUUCCUACCUUUUAAUAAUUUGAAUUCUUAUAAUGCAAACUAAAAAUAAUUAGUUUAAUAAUUUUACUAUUAUAAAUUAAAAAAAUUAUGUCGUUAAUGUUAUAAAGACUAUUUCAAAAUUUUACUACUAGAUGUGUUAGCUGUGACCCAAAAAAAAGGGAUUAUGAUAGAAAAUUAACCCACAGUACUUUAAGUGUCUUAUUUUAUUUUUAAAAAUAUAAAAAAAUCAUCAAAUAAUCAUUUUUCUCUACCGUUGUCGUUUUUCUUUAUUUUUUUGGUUAAAAGGAGAAUUUACUUAUUUAACAACUAUAACGCCGAAUCAAUCAUUAGAUAAAAGAAACAGAUCGAAUUUUAGGCCUCCCAUAAGGUGAUCACUUUAGUUUUAAAAAGUAGUAGAAAAAAGGAUGAAUAAUUUGGUCAUUAUACGUCUAAAUUUAAUGAAAAUUUAUGUUAAAAAAAGACAACUCAAUACGCUAAGGUUUUCGCUUUACGCCAAAUUCAAGAAAAUGUCCGAUCAUAAAAAUUUAUUUUAUGCAAUCUUAACUUAUAGUGCAAGAGAUAAUUUUCAAUGCUUGACGUAUAAAUCACAUCAUAUCGAAACUCACAUCAAUAUGGGGUGUAAAUCAGAGACAUUUUUGACUAAGUAAAAGCAUCACUUUGAUUUUUCAUUUAAUUUUAAAGUCAUAUUUAUAAUUUUCUUAAUGGACAUAUUUAUAAUUUUUGAUUUACUGUCCAAAUUAAUUUAUUUAUUUUAAAAAAAAGAUUAUAUGGCUAUUAAUUUUUUUAAGAUUAUAAAUUUGGAUAUAAAAUUUUUUGGAAAGUCAUAUUUAUAAUUUUUUUAUUAACUGUCCAAAUUAAUUUGAUUAACUGUCCAAAUUAAGAUUUUAAUAGCCAUAUUUAUAAUUUUUUUAUGAUAUCAGAAUUAACUGUUAAUAUGUCAAGUUUUUAAACUUAUAAUUAGCCUAACUUGAAUAUAAAUAUGGAGAGUGUUCAUUGUAAACUCACAAAUCAUUGAGACUACAUAAAUUAUUCUUUCUUUCUCUUUAUUUUUUUAAUCGGUGAUAGAAAGAUGGCUAUAUCCUCAAAAAUCUUUGAGAUCUAUCCUGUCCUUGUUGCAAUUGCAUCAGGUAUCCUUAUUUUUUCAAGUAAAAGAAUUAUUAUAUCCAAAGACAUAGAACCAAUAUUUAAAUUUUGUUGGCUUAAUCUUUAAGUUGUUAUGCUAAAUUUAUAUUCUUAAAAUUAUAGGCAAAGGUAUACUAUUUUUUGUAUUUUUGAUGAAAUUCUACACAUAUAUUUAUAUAUUAUUAGUCAAAAAUACUAAAUUCAAAUGAAUACAGUGUUACAAUAUCACAUCUAUCCUUAAUAGUUAUACUGUUAAAUUCUUUAUUUAUUAGUUAACUUGUGCACAUCUGCAAGCAUUAUAGUUAUAUAUCUACAACUCAUAAAUCUAAACUAUUAAUUAAAAUGCUAGUUCAUUUAAUUUUGUCACUAACCAUUGUGUAUAUAAUCACAAGUUGUUUAGCACAGGACAAAUGUACAUGUUUCAAUUAUUAUAAUAAAAUAUGCAAAGACCUAUCUUUUGCUGCUAAUCGUGUAUGUGAAGGUUUUUGUACUGAACGAUUUGAAAAAAUAUGUGGAGCAAGAUGUGUACAAGAUGAUGAUAUUGUUUGUGAAUGUAUUAUUUCAGGAGAUAUAUGUGG
This 37300-nucleotide long non-coding RNA is filed under the name Capsicum annuum. RNAcentral's name for it is "long non-coding RNA (CANN_LNC003983)". Lineage: Eukaryota; Viridiplantae; Streptophyta; Magnoliopsida; Solanales; Solanaceae. The record is from RNAcentral.